RNAcentral lists this ribosomal RNA (496 nucleotides) under uncultured bacterium. Its description in RNAcentral is "partial 16S ribosomal RNA". It matches the Rfam family "Bacterial small subunit ribosomal RNA", at positions 29 to 507 of the family's 1533-position model. The record is from RNAcentral.
AUGAACGCUGGCGGCGUGCCUCAUACCUGCAAGUCGAGCGAACGGACGAGAAGCUUGCUUCUCUGAUGUUAGCGGCGGACGGGUGAGUAACACGUGGAUAACCUACCUAUAAGACUGGGAUAACUUCGGGAAACCGGAGCUAAUACCGGAUGAUAUUUUGAACCGCAUGGUUCAAAAGUGAAAGACGGUCUUGCUGUCACUUAUAGAUGGAUCCGCGCUGCAUUAGCUAGUUGGUAAGGUAACGGCUUACCAAGGCAACGAUGCAUAGCCGACCUGAGAGGGUGAUCGGCCACACUGGAACUGAGACACGGUCCAGACUCCUACGGGAGGCAGCAGUAGGGAAUCUUCCGCAAUGGGCGAAAGCCUGACGGAGCAACGCCGCGUGAGUGAUGAAGGUCUUCGGAUCGUAAAACUCUGUUAUUAGGGAAGAACAUAUGUGUAAGUAACUGUGCACAUCUUGACGGUACCUAAUCUGAAAGCCACGGCUAACUACGUG